CUGGGGAGACAGCCUAAACGCAACCAGUAGCCGGAGUCCGAAGUCGGGCCCUCCCUUCUGCCCGCGACCGCGUUAGCUAAACCCGACCCAGCAACCAGGCCACCGCUCCUUUCCUCUCCGAUCCGGAUCUCCCCACCCGCUCCGGCGAGCCAUCGCCGCGUCGCCUCCACGCGACCGACUACUUCUCAUAUCAAUCUAUCUAUCCGGCUUACCCGCCGCCGCACGCACCAAGGUUGCGUUCACCAUAUUACCUGUUUGCUUAUCUUCUCCCGAGCCCAGCAAACCCUAGCCGCCGCCACCCAUGGACAUAGAGGCCGACGGACGAUUCGGCAACAAACGAGUGCACAAUCGCCUAGGCCCGGGCUCCGGCGGCGCUCCACCAUCUACCAACGGAAAGGUCUGCAACUACUGGCGUGCCGGUCGGUGCAACCGCUUUCCGUGCCCCUUCCUCCACAGCGAGCUCCCCGAGGCUGCGCCGCCCAAGCGCCCCACUGGACCCGGGGGGAACGUAUGGCGCAACCCCAACACCGGAGGACGAGGAGGUGGCCAUCACAAUAGAUGGGGGAAGGGCCCAGGAGGGGGCAGCGGGAUUGCGAGCCACAAGCCGCCUGAGAGGCCCUGCAAGUACUUUCUCGCCGGUACCGAAUGUAGCUAUGGCGAGAGGUGCCGCUAUCCGCACAGCUACUGCAUAAGCGAUAGUAUCGCGAUGCUUACCUUGCUCAAGGGACACGAGCAGGGUGUCACGGGCAUUGCACUGCCCGCUGGGUCAGACAAGCUUUAUUCCGGGAGUAAGGAUGGAACUGUUCGCAUGUGGGAUUGCCAAACUGGGCAGUGUGCUGGUGUCAUCACCAUGGGUCGUGAGGUUGGGUGUAUGAUCAUUGAAGGUCCGUGGUUAUUUGUUGGAAUACCUGAUGCAGUGAAGGUUUGGAAUAUGCAAACAGCAGCGGAAAUGAGCCUUACUGGACCAACUGGGCAAGUCUAUGCACUCGCCGUUGCCAGUGAGUUACUCUUUGCUGCAACACAAGCUGGGAGGAUUUUAGCAUGGAGAUUUAGUGCCGCAACUAACUGUUUUGAGCCAGCUGCUUCUCUAGAUGGCCAUAAGCUUGCUGUUGUUUCAUUGAUAGUAGGAGGCAUGAGGCUUUAUUCUGCUUCAAUGGAUAAAACUAUCAGAGUAUGGGAUUUGGCAACUUUGCAGUGCAUACAGACUCUUUCUGAUCAUACCGAUGUUGUUAUGUCCGUGCUUUGCUGGGAUCAAUUUCUAUUAUCUUGCUCUUUGGAUCAAACAAUAAAAGUUAGUCGCCAUCUACAUCAUCAUUUUGGUUUGGGCCGCUACAGAGAGUGGAAACUUAGAAGUAACAUAUACACACAAAGAGGAUCAGGGUGCACUUGCCCUCAGUGGUAUGCCUGACGCACAGUCAAAACCUGUGCUACUGUGUUCAUUAAAUGACAACACUGUCCGCUUAUAUGAUCUGCCAUCGUUCAGUGACAGAGGCAGAUUAUUCUCCAAAAAAGAAAUUAGGGCAAUACAGAUGGGUCCUGGUGGUUUAUUUUUUACCGGGGAUGGAACUGGUGAGCUCAAGGUUUGGCAGUGGGUAGAUUUAGCCCAAACCUAAUGAACAUAGUGUGCUAGAUUAGUUUUCUCUCAUGUAUUUUAUGAGGGAGUUCGUACAAAUACGCAUAAUGAGUUCAGGUUGUGGUCGGUGGCCAGUUCUUUUUUUGUAAUAUGCCCCACAUUUGUCACAAAUGACACGAGAUUCGGUGGAUCUGUUCGGCAGUAAAAUCAGAAGCAGAGUAUGUGUUAUGGACUGUAGUUUUGUCCUGGAAUGGAUUUUAAGACAGGAGAAUAAUUGGUUGUUGUAAUAUGUAAGGCACUGGAACGAGCAAUUCUGACGACUGCUUGGAGGUGGUGGCAGUUUCAAAAGGAUAUAUGCUAAUAUACAAGGGUUUGUUCAGCCGCA
RNA transcript from Zea mays, 1958 nucleotides. It is a transcript of the gene named nucleic acid binding protein, with no coding region annotated. NCBI's taxonomy places the organism in Eukaryota, Viridiplantae, Streptophyta, Magnoliopsida, Poales, Poaceae. The record is from RefSeq and is marked provisional. The transcript has 9 exons.